RNAcentral lists this ribosomal RNA (658 nucleotides) under Aerides rosea. RNAcentral describes it as "eukaryotic LSU rRNA". The stretch from base 239 to 394 matches the Rfam family "5.8S ribosomal RNA". Lineage: Eukaryota; Viridiplantae; Streptophyta; Magnoliopsida; Asparagales; Orchidaceae. The record is from RNAcentral.
UCGAGACUGAAAUUAUAUUGAGCGAUUCAGAAAACCUGUGAAAUAAGCGGCGGCGGCUGUCGCCACGAAGCAGCUGUCCCCGUCGUCGCUCCCCCCCAGUCUGGAGGGGGGCCGCGGCGAGGGAAGGCUAAAACCCCAAACCGGAGCAUACUGGAGCCAAGGUAGCUAUCAAAAAACACGAGCCCAGAGUCGUGUCUUCGUGGGGUGGAGCGGUGCUGCGCACUGCACGUAUUGAUACGACUCUCGAUAAUGGUUAUCUCGGCUCUCGCAUCGAUGAAGAGCGCAGUGAAAUAUGAUACAUGGUGCGAAUUACAGAAUCCCGCGAGCCAUUGAGUCUUUGAACGCAAGUUGAGCCCGAGGCCAAUCGGUUGAGGGCAUGUCUGUCUGGGCAUCAAGCUUCACGCUGCUCUGUGCCUAGUCCCCACAAUCCCACCGUAGUGAGAGUGCUGGGUGAGUCUUGGACGGGUAGAGUGGCUCUUCGUGCCCAUCGGUGCGGCAGGCUGAAGAGCGGGUUAUUGUCUCAUUAGACACGAACAACGUGGGGUGGAUGAAAGCUUUCGCAGGCAAGGCCCGCGUUGUCUCGUACAGGCCCGGGAGAAGAUUAUACUCUUCGUGCGAUCCCAACCCACGCACGGCUCCCCAUGCGUUGGUUUGGAAU